GACGUAGGGCGCGAGCGUUGUCCGGAUUUAUUGGGCGUAAAGAGCUCGUAGGCGGCUGUUCAAGUCGAACGUGAAAACUCGGAGCUCAACCCCGAGCCUGCGUUCGAUACUGGACGGCUAGAGUCUGGUAGGGGGAUCUGGAAUUCCUGGUGUAGCGGUGAAAUGCGCAGAUAUCAGGAGGAACACCGGUGGCGAAGGCGGGUCUCUGGGCCGAUACUGACGCUGAGGAGCGAAAGCGUGGGGAGCGAACAGG
Molecule: ribosomal RNA, 253 nt
Filed under: uncultured bacterium
Lineage: Bacteria
Description: partial 16S ribosomal RNA
Rfam family: Bacterial small subunit ribosomal RNA
Source: RNAcentral